UAGGGAAUCUUCCACAAUGGACGCAAGUCUGAUGGAGCAACGCCGCGUGAGUGAAGAAGGUUUUCGGAUCGUAAAGCUCUGUUGUUGGUGAAGAAGGAUAGAGGCAGUAACUGGUCUUUAUUUGACGGUAAUCAACCAGAAAGUCACGACUAACUACGUGCCAGCAGCCGCGGUAAUACGUAGGUGGCAAGCGUUGUCCGGAUUUAUUGGGCGUAAAGCGAGCGCAGGCGGAAUGAUAAGUCUGAUGUGAAAGCCCACGGCUCAACCGUGGAACUGCAUCGGAAACUGUCAUUCUUGAGUGCAGAAGAGGAGAGUGGAAUUCCAUGUGUAGCGGUGGAAUGCGUAGAUAUAUGGAAGAACACCAGUGGCGAAGGCGGCUCUCUGGUCUGCAACUGACGCUGAGGCUCGAAAGCAUGGGUAGCGAACAGG
This 429-nucleotide ribosomal RNA is filed under the name bacterium. RNAcentral describes it as "partial 16S ribosomal RNA". It matches the Rfam family "Bacterial small subunit ribosomal RNA", at positions 355 to 776 of the family's 1533-position model. The record is from RNAcentral.